GAAAUGCGAUAAGUAAUGCGAAUUGCAGAAUUCCGUGAGUCAUCGAAUCUUUGAACGCACAUUGCGCCCUUUGGUAUUCCGAAGGGCAUGCCUGUUCGAGCGUCAUUAUCAACCCUCAAGCCCGGCUUGUUUGUUGGACCCCGCACCGACCUUCAACCGUCGGUGGGUCCGAAAGAGAAUGGCAGAGUCGGCCGGACCCUGGAUGCAGCGAGCUUCAUUUUCAGCACGCAUCACGGCGGUCCUCCGGGCUCGGUCUUAACCGGGUCUCUCGAUCCACUUUUUAAUGGUUGACCUCGGAUCAGGUAGGGAUACCCGCUGAACUUAA
This 325-nucleotide unclassified non-coding RNA is filed under the name uncultured fungus. Its description in RNAcentral is "sequence contains ITS1". The stretch from base 1 to 105 matches the Rfam family "5.8S ribosomal RNA", at positions 50 to 154 of the family's 154-position model. The record is from RNAcentral. Lineage: Eukaryota; Fungi.